UUAUGGCGCGAGGCCGCGAGCUAAGUAAUAAUAAUAAAAAAAUUAUAAUAAUGUGCAAUUAUUGACGGUAUUUCUAUACUAUAUCGAAGCAGGAGAUGUCUAUUUAAAUUGUGUAAAAUUCAGACAAAUUUGUUAAACGACACAAUUAAUUUUCUAACAUAUCAAUUAACUCCAACUAAUCUACCAGUAAACUUCAAAACAUCAGAAAUAUUAUGUGUAUUUAUAAUGUGUUUUCGUAAAAAUCAUCAAAAUAAUUACGUUUAGAAAUUAAGUUAUAAAUGAAAAUGUGUGAACUUUUUAAUGGAAAUUUAUAUUAAAUUCAGAAUCAUAAAAAUCACAGCAUCCGUUUCUAGCGUCGUCGUUGCCAUAGAUAAUAAUAAUUAUUUAUUAUAAUUAUUAUUAUUUGCAUUGAUGAUAAAAAUGAAUGAUAUCGCAACAAAAACCCUUCGUAAACUACGUGUAAAAAUGGCUAAGUAAAAAAAAAAAUAGUAAGUAAUAGAGUUAUAGAAAUAGAAUAUUAUUGAUAGUUAAUUUGGUUUUUUUAUAAGAUAAAAGUGCAUAAAUUUACAUUUAUUAACAUUCAAAAAUAAAUAAUUCAUUCUACACCACGAAAGUAAGCUAUUAAUAAUAAUCAUUAACACAUGUUUUUUUUUAAUCUGGCCACAAAAUCAAGUAACUACGAAACGAUAAACAGCAUUUAUUAAUAUUGUAUAUUGGGUAUAAGUCCGGUCCGUUUUCUGAAACUGAUUAGUCUUGUUCGAACACUCAAGCCAUUAACAUCUACAAGAAAAUAAACGAAUAGUUACUACGACGAUCAGACCAGUGACAAGUACCGGCGCCUGUGGUAAUAUCGAUAGCUGAUGACCAGCUGCCACCACGCCGUUUCCACCGACGACGCAUUGUGGGUUGCCUACUUCACAUAAGUCGAACUGACAGCAUACACCCGGCGAACACCUCUCAGGAGA
Aphis gossypii (cotton aphid) is the source of this 965-nucleotide long non-coding RNA. RefSeq lists it as uncharacterized. The record is from RefSeq and is a predicted model, not a curated record. The transcript has 2 exons. NCBI's taxonomy places the organism in Eukaryota, Metazoa, Arthropoda, Insecta, Hemiptera, Aphididae.